Cervus elaphus (red deer) is the source of this 1822-nucleotide long non-coding RNA. RefSeq lists it as uncharacterized. The record is from RefSeq and is a predicted model, not a curated record. The transcript has 3 exons. NCBI's taxonomy places the organism in Eukaryota, Metazoa, Chordata, Mammalia, Artiodactyla, Cervidae.
GAGAGAGUGGGCAGAGAGUUUGGGGUUCGUAGAUGCAAACGAUUAUAUAUAGAGUGGAUAAGCAACAAGAUCCUACUGUGUAGCACAGGGACUAUAGUCAAUAUCCUAUGAUAAACCAUAAUGGAGAAGAAUAUGAAAAAUAAUGUGUGUGUGUGUGUGUUGAAUCACUUUGUUUGUACAGUAGAAAUUAACACAGCAUUGUAAAUCAGCUAUACUUCAAUAAAAUAAAUUUUAGGAAAGAAAAAAAAUGAAUUAGUUGGUUCACCCUGAAAACAAAUUGCAUGCUUUACAUAAAAACACAAAAUUCUGGUUUUGGGGGAAAAUUGAGAAGAUCCAACCAGUUUUAAUGAGUAUUCUCAGGUGGCAAAAUGGUCAGAAACUGGCAGUUUUUUUGUGAGGGGGAAAGCAUUCCACAGUUUACUAACAUGCCUUCUUUUCCUGUGGUCCUCACCUUCUUAAAAUAUCUUAAGUGGUUCCUGCAGGCUGUUGGGGUUGUGAUGCCAUACUUCUGCGGUCAAGGAAAGUAAUGAAAAUUUUCAAUUGCAAGUUGAAAAUGCAAUGGAAAUGAAAAUUACUGAAUGAAAAUAAUUGACUGAAGCCCUCACCCACCCAGACAGUGGUGGCCGUACAAAAGAGUAUUUUACAAUACAACUUUUUUUUACAGUGGCAAGCCCUCGGGGCCAGGGCGUCACUUCCCUGGCACUGGUAUGAGUCAGAUAUCCUCUGCCCUGAGUUGAUCUUGGGCUUGGGUGUCAGAUUGGCAUGUCAGCAUGCACUGUUGUGAGCUGGUGGAUAUAGUUUUUGGGUUACUGUUGUUUUCUUAAAUUGCUUUAUUGAGGCAUAAUUGGCAGAAAAUAAACUCCACAUUUUAAAAAUGUAUAAUUUGCUAAGUUUGGACACAUGUGUAUACCCAUGAAACCAUCACUAAACUAAGAUAUUAACCACCCCUAAAAGUCUCAUCCUGCCCCUUUUUAAUCCCUAUUCCCUCCUUCUUUACCCCACCCUGACUGCUACCCAUGGGAACUCUGCUUCAUCACUGUAGAUUAGUGUGCAUUUCCAAGAAUUUUGUGUUUAAAUGACAUCAUACAUCAUGUACUCUUGUCCAACUUCUUUUCAUAACACCACACCUAUCUUAAGAUUGAUUCAUGUUGUGGUUCUAUCAAAAGUCAGGUCUUUUUUUUUUUUUUUCCCACUGCUAAGCACAGUCCCAUCACAUACCCCAGUUUAUCCAUUUAAAGCAGAUUUUUGGACAUCAUGACCCCAGUUUCUGCCCACUCAUCAUGCUCCCUCAUAGAUUGGGAUUGGCAUCCAGGAUUUCUGAGGUCUUACAUAAUUCUGUGAUUCUAAGGAGAAGCCAGCCUUACGGGUGGCCUUGUUGGGGGAAUGUGCAGAUGGGCUCUUUGAAGGUCGACAGGCUGGAGCUCAGAAAGAACGCCUUCUCUACCGACCUUCCUGUUUUGUGUUUUUUUUUGAGAAGGGCUGAAAUAGCUUCAAUUUUUGGCUUCUAAAUUGAGAACACUUUCCUGGCAUUUGUCAACUAUAUGUUGCCUGUGUAAAAUGAUAGUCUGUGGCUGUUUGAAAAUUGUAGUGUGGAGAUUAUGGUGUGAAGGUUGGUAUUCUGGGUAUAUAAAGUUAAUGGUGGUGGACACAUUUCUUGGAAAAAGGUCAAGAUAAUAAUCAAAAGAGCUAGCUUCUGUCACCCUAAGACUGUUGUGCUCACCAAGGAUGAGUUCAACAGAAUCUCAGUAGCCAUCACAACAAAGGAAUGGAGAAAUAAAAAUGGGAGUCCCACUUAAUUUCUUGGUUGGAUAGUGCAGCUCAU